GGAAGUAAAAGUCGUAACAAGGUUUCCGUAGGUGAACCUGCGGAAGGAUCAUUACCGAGUUGAUUCGGGCUCCGUCCCGAUCCUCCCACCCUUUGUAUACCUACCUCUGUUGCUUUGGCGGGCCGCGGUCUUCCGCGGCCGCCCCCCGAUUUUGGGGGGUGGCUAGUGCCCGCCAGAGGACUAUCAAACUCCAGUCAGUAAACGUUGCAGUCUGAAAAAAAUAUUAAAUAAACUAAAACUUUCAACAACGGAUCUCUUGGUUCUGGCAUCGAUGAAGAACGCAGCGAAAUGCGAUAAGUAAUGUGAAUUGCAGAAUUCAGUGAAUCAUCGAAUCUUUGAACGCACAUUGCGCCCCUUGGUAUUCCGGGGGGCAUGCCUGUUCGAGCGUCAUUUCAACCCUCAAGCUCUGCUUGGUAUUGGGCACCGUCCUUUGCGGGCGCGCCUCAAAGACCUCGGCGGUGGCGUCUUGCCUCAAGCGUAGUAGAAUACACCUCGCUUCGGAGCGUAAGGCGUCGCCCGCCGGACGAACCUUCUGAACUUUUCUCAAGGUUGACCUCGGAUCAGGUAGGGAUACCCGCUGAACUUAAGCAUAUCAAUAAGCGGAGGA
This 607-nucleotide ribosomal RNA is filed under the name Macrophomina phaseolina. RNAcentral describes it as "eukaryotic LSU rRNA". The stretch from base 237 to 390 matches the Rfam family "5.8S ribosomal RNA". Lineage: Eukaryota; Fungi; Ascomycota; Dothideomycetes; Botryosphaeriales; Botryosphaeriaceae. The record is from RNAcentral.